GCUGGGUUCGCCUAGAGGUAUGGCGGUAGGUUGCUAACCUACUUGGGAGUAAUCCCUACACGAGUUCGAUUCUCGUACCCAGCG
Molecule: transfer RNA, 84 nt
Filed under: Microcaldota archaeon
Lineage: Archaea; Nanobdellati; Microcaldota
Description: tRNA-Ser
Rfam family: tRNA
About the family: Transfer RNA (tRNA) molecules are approximately 80 nucleotides in length. Their secondary structure includes four short double-helical elements and three loops (D, anti-codon, and T loops).
Source: RNAcentral